GUGGGGAAUCUUCCGCAAUGGACGAAAGUCUGACGGAGCGACGCCGCGUGAGUGAAGAAGGCCUUCGGGUCGUAAAGCUCUGUCAUCAGGGACGAACGGCCGGUGGAGUGGAAAGCCACCGGAUUGACGGUACCUGAGAAGGAAGCCACGGCUAACUACGUGCCAGCAGCCGCGGUAAUACGUAGGUGGCAAGCGUUGUCCGGAAUUAUUGGGCGUAAAGCGCGCGCAGGUGGGAUCUUAAGUCCAUUUUUAAAGGUCGGAGCUCAACUCCGUGAUGGGAUGGAAACUGGGAUUCUUGAGUACCGGAGAGGAAAGCGGAAUUCCCCGUGUAGCGGUGAAAUGCGUAGAUAUGGGGAGGAACACCAGUGGCGAAGGCGGCUUUCUGGACGGUGUCUGACACUGAGGCGCGAAAGCCAGGGGAGCGAACGGGAUUAGAAACCCCGGUAGUCC
Molecule: ribosomal RNA, 450 nt
Filed under: uncultured bacterium
Lineage: Bacteria
Description: partial 16S ribosomal RNA
Rfam family: Bacterial small subunit ribosomal RNA
Source: RNAcentral